UGGCAAUGAUGACUAUCUUAGGACACCUUUGGAUUAACCGUGAAACAAACACAGAUUCUGAGCCAC
This 66-nucleotide small nucleolar RNA is filed under the name Pogona vitticeps (central bearded dragon). RNAcentral's name for it is "Small nucleolar RNA SNORD58 (ENSPVIG00000023728.1)". It matches the Rfam family "Small nucleolar RNA SNORD58". Rfam says of the family: snoRNA U58 is found in introns 1, 3 and 6 of the ribosomal protein RPL17 gene in humans. U58 is a member of the C/D class of snoRNA which contain C (UGAUGA) and D (CUGA) box motifs. The record is from Rfam by way of RNAcentral. Lineage: Eukaryota; Metazoa; Chordata; Lepidosauria; Squamata; Agamidae.